GGUGGUUCCUGUGACGCACCCUGGAAUCGGGCUCCCUCCUCUCUUGUUCCAGAGUGCAUCACCUUAGAACCAUU
Non-coding RNA from Myotis davidii, 74 nucleotides. NCBI's taxonomy places the organism in Eukaryota, Metazoa, Chordata, Mammalia, Chiroptera, Vespertilionidae. The record is from Rfam.